This is a non-coding RNA of Gossypium arboreum, 120 nucleotides long. Lineage: Eukaryota; Viridiplantae; Streptophyta; Magnoliopsida; Malvales; Malvaceae. The record is from Rfam.
UGUUAAAAAUUUCAUCCAAUUCUACUGUCAAAAACUGGUGUAGCUGCUAGAAUAAUGCUUAUCUCAUGAUGAUGUAUAGGGACCAAUUUGUAACUGUAGAAAUAGAUAGAUAUCUUAACA